Molecule: unclassified non-coding RNA, 335 nt
Filed under: soil metagenome
Description: partial contains 5.8S ribosomal RNA, internal transcribed spacer 2, and large subunit ribosomal RNA
Rfam family: 5.8S ribosomal RNA (bases 1-120)
Source: RNAcentral
GAUGAAGAACGUAGCGAAAUGCGAUAAGUAGUGUGAAUUGCAGAAUUCAGUGAAUCAUCGAAUCUUUGAACGCACAUUGCGCCCCUUGGUCCUCCAUGGGGCAUGCCUGUUCGAGCGUCAUUUACACCCUCAAGCUCAGCUUGGUGUUGGGCGUCUGUCCCGCUUCGUGCGCGGACUCGCCUCAAAUGCAUUGGCAGCGGUCUUGCCAGCUUCUCGCGCAGCACAUUGCGCUUCUAGAGGCUUUGGCGGAUCGGCGUCCAUCAAGUACACCCACAGUUUGACCUCGGAUCAGGUAGGGAUACCCGCUGAACUUAAGCAUAUCAAUAAGCGGAGGA